UGGGGAAUAUUGCACAAUGGGCGAAAGCCUGAUGCAGCAACGCCGCGUGAGUGAUGAAGGCCUUCGGGUUGUAAAGCUCUGUCUUUUGGGACGAUAAUGACGGUACCAAAGGAGGAAGCCACGGCUAACUACGUGCCAGCAGCCGCGGUAAUACGUAGGUGGCAAGCGUUGUCCGGAUUUACUGGGCGUAAAGGAUGCGUAGGCGGAUUUUUAAGUGAGAUGUGAAAACCCUAAGCUUAACUUGGGGACUGCAUUUCAUACUGGAAAUCUAGAGUGCGGGAGAGGAGAAUGGAAUUCCUAGUGUAGCGGUGAAAUGCGUAGAGAUUAGGAAGAACACCAGUGGCGAAGGCGAUUCUCUGGACCGUAACUGACGCUGAGGCAUGAAAGCGUGGGUAGCAAACAGGAUUAGAUACCCUGGUAGUCCACGCCGUAAACGAUGAGUACUAGGUGUAGGAGGUAUCGACCCCUUCUGUGCCGCAGUUAACACAAUAAGUACUCCGCCUGGGAAGUACGAUCGC
Molecule: ribosomal RNA, 518 nt
Filed under: uncultured bacterium
Lineage: Bacteria
Description: partial 16S ribosomal RNA
Rfam family: Bacterial small subunit ribosomal RNA
Source: RNAcentral